This 69-nucleotide transfer RNA is filed under the name Ictidomys tridecemlineatus (thirteen-lined ground squirrel). RNAcentral describes it as "Spermophilus tridecemlineatus (thirteen-lined ground squirrel) tRNA". It matches the Rfam family "tRNA". From Rfam's summary of the family: Transfer RNA (tRNA) molecules are approximately 80 nucleotides in length. Their secondary structure includes four short double-helical elements and three loops (D, anti-codon, and T loops). Lineage: Eukaryota; Metazoa; Chordata; Mammalia; Rodentia; Sciuridae. The record is from Rfam by way of RNAcentral.
GACACUGUAGCUCAGCAGUAGAGCACUUGCCUGACACACAUGAGGCACUGGGUUCAAUCCUCGGCAUCA